GACGAACGCUGGCGGCGUGCUUAACACAUGCAAGUCGAACGGAAAGGCCCUGCUUUUGUGGGGUGCUCGAGUGGCGAACGGGUGAGUAACACGUGGGUAACCUGCCCUUGACUUUGGGAUAACUUCGGGAAACGGGGGCUAAUACCGGAUAGGAGCUCCUGCUGCAUGGUGGGGGUUGGAAAGUUUCGGCGGUUGGGGAUGGACUCGCGGCUUAUCAGCUUGUUGGUGGGGUAGUGGCUUACCAAGGCUUUGACGGGUAGCCGGCCUGAGAGGGUGACCGGCCACAUUGGGACUGAGAUACGGCCCAGACUCCUACGGGAGGCAGCAGUGGGGAAUAUUGCACAAUGGGCGGAAGCCUGAUGCAGCAACGCCGCGUGCGGGAUGACGGCCUUCGGGUUGUAAACCGCUUUCGCCUGUGACGAAGCGUGAGUGACGGUAAUGGGUAAGAAGCACCGGCUAACUACGUG
RNAcentral lists this ribosomal RNA (467 nucleotides) under uncultured bacterium. Its description in RNAcentral is "partial 16S ribosomal RNA". It matches the Rfam family "Bacterial small subunit ribosomal RNA", at positions 28 to 507 of the family's 1533-position model. The record is from RNAcentral.